UGUUGAAAAACCUGUUUUUCAGGAUGCCAUGAUUAAUUGAUCUGACGGUUGCUCUUAUAAUUUUUAAGCCAACAAUUAUAAAUUUUAGGAAUUGGGUUCAGUAUAAAACAGGAUAUCCAUAGCUUUUGGCUAGCUAGCUCGUAAUAAAAUCAGACAAAAAUGGCUUCUAAAAAGCUAUCAAUGAUUUGGGAGGCGUUGCGGAUAGCUUUGCUUCUGCUUGGCCCUGUGGCAUCAAGGGAAAGGCUUGGAACUUCAGAGACUCGGAUCAUGACUUAUGGGAAGGAGGGACUCUUUGAUAAUAUUCCUUAUCGAAAAGGUAAAGAUCUCGUCUCCAGUACUGAUCUGAAAGGGGCCUAACUGUCCCCAUGGAUAAAUAUUAUUAAUUACAUGAUGAAAUUAACUGUCCCCAUGGAUAAAUAUUAUUAAUUACAUGAUGAAAUUCCAAACCAUGCAGGUAGAUAGUGCAUGAUAUAUGUACAUUAAGUCUGUCAAUGAUACAGACAGUCCGUAUGCGAUCAUCUAGUAUUGAUGACGGUUUUUGAAAAAAUGGUCAUCUAUACUAUUAUAUAUAAACAAAUAUUGGUAAUAGUUUUUUUAAAAACCA
Ziziphus jujuba (common jujube) is the source of this 604-nucleotide long non-coding RNA. RefSeq lists it as uncharacterized. The transcript has 2 exons. The record is from RefSeq and is a predicted model, not a curated record. NCBI's taxonomy places the organism in Eukaryota, Viridiplantae, Streptophyta, Magnoliopsida, Rosales, Rhamnaceae.